Molecule: long non-coding RNA, 574 nt
Filed under: Phaseolus vulgaris (common bean)
Lineage: Eukaryota; Viridiplantae; Streptophyta; Magnoliopsida; Fabales; Fabaceae
Description: long non-coding RNA (PVUL_LNC004613)
Source: RNAcentral
AAAAUGUUGAGAAGCCGAGAAUGAUCCAUAGAAACAGAAGCAUGUCCCUUAGAUAGAAAUAGACAGUUAAAGUUUAAUAUUGAAGGAGACAUUCUCCAGCGAGAACAGGUAAAAACCUCCCUAAACCAGCUCCAAGAUUUCUUCAGUCUUUCUCUUGUUUAUAUCACUGGACUAAACAAAUCCAAAGCUCCAUGUCUUUAAACAAUGUGUAGGCUAUAAAGAACAAUACGCAAAAUAUCAGAGUAAACAAGUUGAACACAACCCAUCUGGUGCAUUGGGUUCCACACGUAUGAUUCAUUGCCAUCCAAAACCAGAGUGACUACACAUUUGCUCUCCUCUCCUACGUGAGUGUACUUCAAACCCCUCCAUAUAUCUACUGGCUAAGGCUACUCAAACUGAACUGUUGCAACCAAUCCUUGGCUAGGACCUUCCAGUCGACUAGCCUUCCUCUACACCAAGUCUUCAUAAAGAAACCUCUAUUAUAGAACCCUCAUCUGCCUUAGCCAGAUUCAUACAAAACACACAACACAAGCCUUCCCCACUCAUAUCUUACCCACAACACAAAAGAGAGUAC